Molecule: non-coding RNA, 84 nt
Organism: Brugia malayi
Lineage: Eukaryota; Metazoa; Nematoda; Chromadorea; Rhabditida; Onchocercidae
Source: RefSeq, a predicted model, not a curated record
UGUUUUUACUAGUAACUCUCAAUCGUUUAUCUUCUUAUCUCGAUAAUUUUAUCUCGAUAAGAAGAUAAACGAUUGAGAGUUAUU